RNAcentral lists this ribosomal RNA (1889 nucleotides) under marine metagenome. Its description in RNAcentral is "bacterial LSU rRNA". It matches the Rfam family "Bacterial large subunit ribosomal RNA", at positions 435 to 2432 of the family's 2925-position model. The record is from RNAcentral.
UGUCUGAACAUGGGGGGACCACCCUCCAAGCCUAAGUACUCCUUAACGACCGAUAGUGUACCAGUACCGUGAGGGAAAGGUGAAAAGCACCCCGAUAAGGGGAGUGAAAUAGUUCCUGAAACCGGAUGCCUACAAGCAGUUGGAGCCUCUAUAUGGGGUGACAGCGUACCUCUUGCAUAAUGGGUCAGCGAGUUAGUCUUACAAGCGAGCUUAAGCCGUUAGGUGUAGGCGCAGCGAAAGCGAGUCUGAAUAGGGCGAUUGAGUUUGUGGGAUUAGACCCGAAACCAGGUGAUCUAGCCAUGAGCAGGUUGAAGGUGAUGUAACAGUCACUGGAGGACCGAACCCACGUCUGUUGAAAAAGACGGGGAUGACUUGUGGUUAGGGGUGAAAGGCCAAUCAAACCUGGAGAUAGCUGGUUCUCCGCGAAAUCUAUUUAGGUAGAGCGUCAGACGAAUACCAUCGGGGGUAGAGCACUGAAUGGGCUAGGGGGCCUUACCGGCUUACCAAACCUAAUCAAACUCCGAAUACCGAUGAGUACUAUCUGGCAGACAGACUACGGGUGCUAAGGUCCGUGGUCGAGAGGGAAACAGCCCAGACCGCCAGUUAAGGUCCCAAAGUUGUGGCUAAGUGGGAAAGGAUGUAGGACGGCCAAGACAACCAGGACGUUGGCUUAGAAGCAGCCAUCGUUUAAAGAAAGCGUAACAGCUCACUGGUCUAAAUAAGCUGUCCCGCGCCGAAGAUGUACCGGGGCUCAAGCCACACACCGAAACUGCGGAUUUGUUCUUUAUUGAACAAGUGGUAGCGGAGCGUUCCGUAAGCCUGUGAAGGUGUACCGUAAGGUAUGCUGGAGGUAUCGGAAGCGAGAAUGCUGACAUGAGUAGCGACAAAGGGAGUGAGAACCUCCCUCGCCGAAAGCCCAAGGGUUCCUGCGCAAGGCCAAUCCGCGCAGGGUGAGUCGGCCCCUAAGACGAGGCGGAAACGCGUAGUCGAUGGGAAACAGGUUAAUAUUCCUGUACCCGUGAGAAGUGACGGCCUCUGGAAGUAGUUUUUCCUUAUUGGAUUGGAGAAGCUGCCAAGGAGGUCCAGGAAAUAACUCUCACAUAUGGACCGUACCCGAAACCGACACAGGUGGGCAGGUUGAAUAUACCAAGGCGCUUGAGAGAACGAUGUUGAAGGAACUCGGCAAAUUGCCCCCGUAACUUCGGGAGAAGGGGGCCCACCGUGAAGGCAACUUUACGGUGGGGGCACAGACCAGGGGGUGGCGACUGUUUACUAAAAACACAGGGCUCUGCGAAGUCGCAAGACGACGUAUAGGGUCUGACGCCUGCCCGGUGCCGGAAGGUUAAGAGGAGAUGUGCAAGCAUUGAAUUGAAGCCCCGGUAAACGGCGGCCGUAACUAUAACGGUCCUAAGGUAGCGAAAUUCCUUGUCGGGUAAGUUCCGACCUGCACGAAUGGCGUAACGACUUCCCCACUGUCUCCAACAUCGACUCAGCGAAAUUGAAUUCUCCGUGAAGAUGCGGAGUACCCGCGGUCAGACGGAAAGACCCCGUGCACCUUUACUACAGCUUUGCAGUGGUAUCAGGAUGUGAAUGUGCAGAAUAGGCGGGAGGCUAUGAACCCGAAGCGCCAGCUUCGGUGGAGCCACCUUUGAGAUACCGCCCUUUUGCUUCCUGAUAUCUAACCGAGGUCCGUUAUCCGGAUCCGGGACCCUGCAUGGCGGGUAGUUUGACUGGGGCGGUCGCCUCCCAAAGAGUAACGGAGGCGCGCGAUGGUAGGCUCAGGCUGGUCGGACAUCAGCUUAAGAGUGCAAUGGCAAAAGCCUGCCUGACUGCGAGACUGACAAGUCGAGCAGAGACGAAAGUCGGUCAUAGUGAUCCGGUGGUCCCGC